RNAcentral lists this unclassified non-coding RNA (337 nucleotides) under soil metagenome. Its description in RNAcentral is "partial contains 5.8S ribosomal RNA, internal transcribed spacer 2, and large subunit ribosomal RNA". The stretch from base 1 to 120 matches the Rfam family "5.8S ribosomal RNA", at positions 35 to 154 of the family's 154-position model. The record is from RNAcentral.
GAUGAAGAACGCAGCGAAAUGCGAUAAGUAAUGUGAAUUGCAGAAUUCAGUGAAUCAUCGAAUCUUUGAACGCACAUUGCGCCCGCCAGUAUUCUGGCGGGCAUGCCUGUUCGAGCGUCAUUUCAACCAUCAAGCCCCCGGGCUUGUGUUGGGGACCUGCGGCUGCCGCAGGCCCUGAAAAGCAGUGGCGGGCUCGCUGUCACACCGAGCGUAGUAGAUUUUAUCUCGCUCUGGGCGUGCUGCGGGUUCCGGCCGUUAAACCACCCUUUUAACCCAAGGUUUACCUCGGAUCAGGUAGGAAGACCCGCUGAACUUAAGCAUAUCAAUAAGCGGAGGA